RNAcentral lists this transfer RNA (65 nucleotides) under Ultragryllacris sp. 1 JL-2022a. RNAcentral describes it as "tRNA-Leu". Lineage: Eukaryota; Metazoa; Arthropoda; Insecta; Orthoptera; Gryllacrididae. The record is from RNAcentral.
ACUAUUUUGGCAGAAAAGUGUAAUGAAUUUAGAAUUCAUGAAUGUAAAAUGAUUUACAAAUAGUA